GAUGAACGCUAGCUACAGGCUUAACACAUGCAAGUCGAGGGGAAACGAUGAGAGAGCUUGCUCUCUUAGGCGUCGACCGGCGCACGGGUGAGUAACGCGUAUCCAACCUACCCAUUACAGGGGGAUAACCUUGCGAAAGUAAGACUAAUACCCCAUGGCAUUUUAUGGUGGCAUCAUUAUAGGAUUAAAGAUUUAUUGGUAAUGGAUGGGGAUGCGUCUGAUUAGCUUGUUGGCGGGGUAACGGCCCACCAAGGCAACGAUCAGUAGGGGUUCUGAGAGGAAGGCCCCCCAAAUUGGAACUGGGACCCGGUCAAAACGCCUACGGGAGGCAGCAGUGAGGAAUAUUGGUCAAUGGGCGAGAGCUUGAACCAGCCAAGUAGGGUGCAGGAUGGCGGCCCUUUGGUGUUUAAACUUCUUUUAUAGGGGAAUAAAGUGGGCUACGUGUAUUUUUUUGCAUGUACCCUUUGAAAAAGGACCGCCUAAUUCCUU
This 489-nucleotide ribosomal RNA is filed under the name uncultured bacterium. RNAcentral's name for it is "partial 16S ribosomal RNA". It matches the Rfam family "Bacterial small subunit ribosomal RNA", at positions 28 to 506 of the family's 1533-position model. The record is from RNAcentral.